UCACGUUCGCUUCUCUCUCCACUACAGUAUGGGGCCGGCGCCGCGCGUCCUGGAACUGUUCUACGAUGUGCUGUCCCCCUACUCCUGGCUGGGCUUUGAGGUGACGCGGGGGGUGGAGGGGUUGGCUGUGGCCUGCGAAGCGAGUGCACAGUGAGGCACUGGUCACCAGGCUACAGAAAUUCCUGGAAAUGUCCUCAGAGUUAGAACAGGGUUCAGACCAUACCCGGGUGGAGGUUCACUUUGUGCUUUUAAACGGACCAUGACUCCUCCAAGUAAGGUCCUGAUCCUAAAGUCUAAUAUUCUCUUUCCACAGACCCUAGAAAGAGCAGGGGCGACGCCAGUGAAGCUAGGUCAAGUUCGGGGAGAGGAUCAGGGGUUCUAGGGUGCUCUACAGGAUGAAAACCAUACACUCUGGUAUCUAUUUCAAAGACCUGAGAGUUUUGUCUUUUUAAACCAAGCACUCCAGUGUGCAGUAGCCGUCCCUGCGCUGCACUUAGAGCCAGGAGACAGCCCUGUAAGCCACUUAAGCCAUUUGUCCUCUCCAAAUGCCACACAGGCUCCCUUUAUCUCUGCACCUGUAGGUCCUAUGCAGAUACCAACACCUCUGGAAUAUCAAGCUGAAGUUGCGGCCCGCUUUACUCGCUGGGAUCAUGAAAGACAGUGGAAACCAACCACCAGCUAUGGUUCCCCACAAAGGCCAGUACAUACUCAAAGAGAUUCCUCUCCUGAAGCAGCUCUUCCAGGUUCCCAUGAGCGUCCCCAAGGAUUUCUUUGGUGAACAUGUU
RNAcentral lists this long non-coding RNA (785 nucleotides) under Rattus norvegicus (Norway rat). RNAcentral describes it as "long non-coding RNA NONRATT020410". Lineage: Eukaryota; Metazoa; Chordata; Mammalia; Rodentia; Muridae. The record is from RNAcentral.